RNAcentral lists this long non-coding RNA (439 nucleotides) under Scleropages formosus (Asian bonytongue). Its description in RNAcentral is "lncRNA (ENSSFOG00015025006.1)". Lineage: Eukaryota; Metazoa; Chordata; Actinopteri; Osteoglossiformes; Osteoglossidae. The record is from RNAcentral.
CUCCUUGCCUGAAGCGAGACGCCACCAAAUCGACAGGUUUAAUUCAUGCCGUGUUCCUGGUCGUGUGGGUGGAGUCAGCCUCAGCUUUGACCCUCGCAACAUAUGCCCCUACCAUAGUAAACCCACACCAGGAGGCCACCUCAUGGCUCUGGGGAGGCUCCUCCUGAUUCUGUCUCUUGUCUCAGGUGUGUCUACAGGUGAUGGAGACGAGAGCACCGGCCCUGCUGAGGUCCGCCUGGCGCAGUGGCUGGAAGAGAUGCUCGAGAACGAAACAACUCAACUGCAGCCGCUCCAGGAAGGGAGGAAGCCUGUCCGGGUCAUCCUGGACCUUCAUGUGCUCAGCAUUCUGGACGUGGACGAAAAACAGGAGCACAUCCUUAUCUACGUCCUGUAUGGACAGGUGCUGCAGGACUGGGGAAGCUGGGAAAGUGGGGUGUGA